GACACGUAAUAAUCUAUGUUUGAAUCUAGGCGUAGACAUACUUUGUUUCGUGCUGAGAUCCAUGCUACCGUAUUAAACGAAUGUCUAGUGGCCUAAGCACCCGAGUUAAAACACGGAAAAAAAGUUAUGUUCUGUGCUUGAGCAGGUGUUUAAUGCCAUUUGUUCAAUCAUAUCCCUAACGAGACGCAAGUGAGAAGUUCGAAAUAAGGCAAGAUACAUAGUCCAUUUCUAAACUUGGAGAGAGAUGCACUACUGUCGUCUUCAGAUGUCCUAUACUGUGCUAAUGGUGACACCUAAGAAUCGUGCCAUUACGCAGUCAACAAUUCUGGCCGAUAACAAUAGAUAAGAUAAAGCCGGCUUGCGCCCGCCUUUCUUCCAUUAUCCGUCCGGUUUUUCCAAUUUCUGGAAGACGUUUUGCGAUGCUUCCACCAAAAACGAGGGAAUAUCAAAAAGCAUCACUGUCUUAAUAGGCCCUGUUAGCGGGACCAUGACGUUUUUGGAGAGAGGUAGCCAUCGUUCGAAAUCGUAGUGACGACUGCAGACGCCACGUUCACCUUCACCUGAUAUGAUAUAAUGCAACAGAUGCUAUCUUCAAACAGAAACAGUGCAAGGUGACCGGGUCGUCUCUGCUCCCGUUUUUGCGUUUGUUGUCGGAAACGAACUCGGGCUUGUCUGUCUGCUCAUCUGCCUUUUGCUUUUUUGACGGAUUCAUUUUGUCGACAGGUGAACCAGCAUAUCUUUGACCUGCAGUAUCGCUUCCCAUUUAUUUGUUUCGGAUUUCCGUUGUCCGUAUUCGAUGUUGCUCACCGCAUUGCUCGCGCGAUCCAGCUAUAGAAGAGUUUUGGCCAGUCGUCGGUCGCUUGUCAACUUCAGCACUAUCAUGGAUAAAAACAUUACAGCCAUGUCGAAAUUCGCUCCAGCUGAACGUGUAGCCGGAAUGGGCGAGAGCGUUUGGAUUGAAUUCGGCCGGCUAGCCCUUGAGAAUAAACCUGUUAACCUUGGGCAGGGUUUUCCAGACAUGCCUCCUCCUGAAAGCGUUGCAAGACCCCUCCGCGAGGCUAUCAUAAAGGGUGGCGAUUUUAUGAUUCAUCAGUACGCCCGUGGAUUCGGCGUUCCUCGUCUAGUGAAUGCCCUCUCAGCGCUGUACAGUAAGCUAACAGAACACGAGGUUAAUCCGAAUACCGAAGUGCUCGUUACAGUAGGAGCGUAUGAAGCUCUCUUUUGUGUGUUUAUGGGAUAUGUGAAUCCAGGGGACGAGGUGAUCAUCAUUGAACCGUUCUAUGAUUGCUACGAGCCAAUGGUACGGAUGGCCGGGGGAACUCCCGUCUUUAUUCCUCUUAGACUGAAAAAAACGGGCGACCACAUAUCAUCCGCUGACUGGGUUCUCGAUCCCGUUGAGUUGGCUUCGAAGUUUUCAGAUAAAACGAAGCUCAUUGUCGUUAAUACCCCGCAUAAUCCCCUCGGCAAGGUUUUCUCAAAGGACGAGUUGACUAUAAUUGGUGAUCUAUGCAAGAAGCACAACGUUGUAGCCGUUAUGGACGAAGUGUACGAAUGGAUAGUCUAUAAUGGCUCCAAGCACAUUCGGAUGAACACGCUUCCCGGCAUGUGGGAGCGGACCAUUACAAUUGGAAGCGCAGGAAAGACUUUCAGCAUUACAGGAUGGAAAAUUGGCUGGGCAUAUGGACCGGCCAACUUGUUGUGUGCUCUACAAUUAGUUCACCAGAACUGCGUGUACACAUGUCCGACGCCUAUUCAACAAGCAAUUGCUGUCGGCCUCGAAAUCGAAACGGCUAAAAUUGGUAAAGAAGAUUCCUAUUGGAAAUCAUUGGUCGAAGAACUCGAGCCAAAACGGGAUCGCAUUUGCAAGUUCUUACAGAGUGUCAACAUGAAUCCCACAGUCCCACAGGGCGGAUACUUCCUUACAUCAGACUUCUCACAAUUCGCAAAAAAUAUUGACAUGUCAGCCUUCACGGGUACAAAAGAUUUCCAGUUCGCUAAAUGGCUCUCGACGACUCAGAAACUACAGGGAAUACCUCCGUCAGUAUUCUAUGGACCAGAACACAAGGCUCUAGCCGAGAACUACAUCCGGUUCUGUUUCUUUAAGUAGUUCGUCGGUCUCGAGUAAGGCAGCGGGCUAUGCUGAGACGAACGUCCUUGGCAGAUGGCGACACGAGGAAUCGUUAACAGAGGCUAUAUACGUGCUAUGAAUUGAUCAAGUAGGGCACACAAUGUAGUUCCUGCCGUUGGCUAUGUGAAACGCCCCGCUCGUUGUGAAGAGGGCAAACUUAUAGGCGCGAGGUACAUUGAUACCUAAACCGAAAGGAGACUCAUCAGGCAUAGGCCAAGAAUCCUGUUUGAAACAGUCCUACGGGCUGUGGUGCGUGCUAGUCUGAUGUUAUAAAGGCCGUUCGAUGAUGGUUAUAUUGUUAAAGGAAAUAAAAUGGAAGUAAUAGUUGGUUUUCUGGCGAAGCUUUGUAUCGAGUCUGUCAAGCGCUUUUAGUUACGGGACGUUGAUCCGAACUCUUCGAUUGGCGUAUUACUCUCGGACCCGGUUUGCUGGUGUUACUGUGGCACAAGUGAAUACAAAAUGUCGCUACUGUUGGCACAUGGACCAAUCAAACGAAAUCUGAACGGUUUUCAUGCAGCGAAGUUUAGAAGAACAAGCACUCCUUUCUGCGUUCUACCAAGACCUACAGAUGAAACCUUGGGUAAAGCAGAAGAAAUCAUCAAGAAACUGCCAAACAAAAUGUAAAUAUUUGCAAUAUACGACGUCG
This is an RNA transcript of Varroa destructor (honeybee mite), 2774 nucleotides long. It is a transcript of the gene named Kynurenine aminotransferase, with no coding region annotated. Lineage: Eukaryota; Metazoa; Arthropoda; Arachnida; Mesostigmata; Varroidae. The record is from RefSeq and is a predicted model, not a curated record.